This 477-nucleotide ribosomal RNA is filed under the name uncultured bacterium. RNAcentral describes it as "bacterial SSU rRNA". It matches the Rfam family "Bacterial small subunit ribosomal RNA", at positions 365 to 832 of the family's 1533-position model. The record is from RNAcentral.
UUCGCAAUGCCCGAAAGGGUGACGAAGCGACGCCGCGUGCGGGAGGAAGGCCUUCGGGUUGUAAACCGCUGUCGGGAGUUAAGAAAUGCAAGGAUGUUAAUAGCGUUCUUGCUUGACUAAGGCUCCGGAGGAAGCCACGGCUAACUCUGUGCCAGCAGCCGCGGUAAUACAGAGGCGGCAAGCGUUGUUUGGAAUUAUUGGGCGUAAAGAGCACGUAGGCGGCUGUGUAAGUCGGUUGUGAAAGCCUUCCGUUCAACGGAAGAACGGCAUCCGAUACUGCAUGGCUUGAGUGUGGGAGGGGAGAGUGGAACUUCUGGUGGAGCGGUGAAAUGCGUAGAUAUCAGAAGGAACACCGGCGGCGAAGGCGACUCUCUGGUCCAUAACUGACGCUGAGUGUGCGAAAGCUAGGGGAGCAAACGGGAUUAGAUACCCCGGUAGUCCUAGCCGUAAACGAUGGGCACUAAGUAGAGGGGUUUU